Molecule: ribosomal RNA, 498 nt
Filed under: uncultured bacterium
Lineage: Bacteria
Description: bacterial SSU rRNA
Rfam family: Bacterial small subunit ribosomal RNA
Source: RNAcentral
GAUGAACGCUAGCGGCAGGCUUAAUACAUGCAAGUCGAACGGUAACAGGUCUUCGGACGCUGACGAGUGGCGCACGGGUGAGGAACACGUACACAAUCUACCUUAUACUGGAGAAUAGCCCCGGGAAACUGGGAUUAAUACUCCAUAGUCUUUAAUGAUCACAUGAGAAAUAAAGUAAAGCUUCGGCGGUAUAAGAUGAGUGUGCGUCCCAUUAGAUUGUUGGUGAGGUAACGGCUCACCAAGUCGACGAUGGGUAGCUGGCGUGAGAGCGCGACCAGCCACACUGGCACUGAGACACGGGCCAGACUCCUACGGGAGGCAGCAGUAGGGAAUAUUGGUCAAUGGACGAAAGUCUGAACCAGCCAUGCCGCGUGGAGGAUGACUGCCCUCUGGGUUGUAAACUGCUUUUGUACGGGAAGAAACACCCCCUCGUGAGGGGGCUUGACGGUACCGUAAGAAUAAGGAUCGGCUAACUCCGUGCCAGCAGCCGCGGUAAAG